Molecule: long non-coding RNA, 615 nt
Filed under: Panax ginseng (ginseng)
Lineage: Eukaryota; Viridiplantae; Streptophyta; Magnoliopsida; Apiales; Araliaceae
Description: long non-coding RNA (PGIN_LNC014757)
Source: RNAcentral
UCAUGAAUUUAGUUUGUUCACCGUUCACAGAUUUAAUCAUUAUUCUUCAUUACCUUACGGUCAAACCAUACACGGUGUGUAGGUUUUACCCAUUUAAUAUUCGCUUUCACUCAACCCUUACGUCGACUAAAGUGUUUAACGCUUACAUUCAUUUUAACAUUCUCUAUCCGACUCACACUCAGACUUUUAUUAAUCUUAUUACCGUUCAUUAUGGCUUUCUUGAUAAUUCAUAUCUUACUUACUACCUUCGUCAACGUUUAAGUCAUACAACUAAUGUAUACUUAUAACGUUUGCACGACGCAAAUACGAUUCACGAUAAUCGUUUACGUAUUCUGCGUUACAUUGUUCAUUUCUUAAUCUCUCAUUCAAACUUUACCUAAGGUUUUAAUCGCUCUCCUUCAUGAUCUAUUACAUGAACACUACAUUCAUCAUCCUUUCUUAAUGUCGAAGCUAUACGGUUCAUGGUAUGCUAAUUCCGACUGUUCAUCGCAUCUACAUUAUGUUUACAUUCUUUGUCUUUUAAUCCCAUUUAAUCCUUCUAUUCAACCUUUACUAAAGGUUUAAUUCACUUGAUUAAGUGUUACAUUAUGUGAACUAUAUGUUCAUUAUCUUUCC